This 496-nucleotide ribosomal RNA is filed under the name uncultured bacterium. RNAcentral's name for it is "bacterial SSU rRNA". It matches the Rfam family "Bacterial small subunit ribosomal RNA", at positions 29 to 494 of the family's 1533-position model. The record is from RNAcentral.
AACUAACGCUGGCGGCGUGCCUAACACUUUUUUAUGCAAGUCGAACGAGAAAGUUGGCUUCGGCCGAUGAGUAAAGUGGCGCACGGGUGAGUAACGCGUGGAUAAUCUGCCCUUUAGUUUGGAAUAACGUACCGAAAGGUGCGCUAAUACCGGAUAAUACUGAAUGACUACUGUCGUUUAGUCAAAGAAGGCUUCUGUUUACAUGCUUUUGCUGAAGGAUGAGUCCGCGUACCAUUAGCUAGUUGGUAGGGUAAUGGCCUACCAAGGCGACGAUGGUUAGCUGGUCUGAGAGGAUGAUCAGCCACACUGGAACUGAGACACGGUCCAGACUCCUACGGGAGGCAGCAGUGAGGAAUAUUGCGCAAUGGGGGCAACCCUGACGCAGCAACGCCGCGUGAGUGAGGAAGGUUUUCGGACCGUAAAGCUCUGUCGAGCGGGAAGAAAUGCAUGGUGGCUAAUAUCCAUCAUGCUUGACGGUACCGCUAAAGGAAGCACC